UACGAACGGUCCAAACGUUAUUCGGAAUCACUGGGCUUAAAGCGUCCGUAGGCGGCUCGGAAAGUAGGGUGUGAAAUCCCACGGCUCAACCGUGGAAUUGCGCUCUAAACUAUCGAGCUAGAGGGAGAUAGAGGUGAGCGGAACUGAUGGUGGAGCGGUGAAAUGCGUUGAUAUCAUCAGGAACACCGGAGGCGAAGGCGGCUCACUGGGCAUGACCUGACGCUGAGGAGCGAAAGUGUGGGGGAGCGAACAGG
Molecule: ribosomal RNA, 254 nt
Filed under: uncultured bacterium
Lineage: Bacteria
Description: partial 16S ribosomal RNA
Rfam family: Bacterial small subunit ribosomal RNA
Source: RNAcentral